RNAcentral lists this ribosomal RNA (486 nucleotides) under Tetraselmis sp. RCC1975. RNAcentral's name for it is "SSU rRNA". It matches the Rfam family "Eukaryotic small subunit ribosomal RNA", at positions 627 to 1120 of the family's 1831-position model. The record is from RNAcentral. Lineage: Eukaryota; Viridiplantae; Chlorophyta; Chlorodendrophyceae; Chlorodendrales; Chlorodendraceae.
CUCGUAGUUGGAUUUCGGAUGGGACUUGCCGGUCCGUCGUUACGAUGUGUACUGGCCAGUCCUAUCUUGUUGUCGGGGACUAGCUUCUGACUUAAUUGUCCGGGACUAGGAGCUGACGAGGUUACUUUGAGUAAAUUAAAGUGUUCAAAGCAAGCCUACGCUCUGAAUACAUUAGCAUGGAAUAACACGAUAGGACUCUGGCUUAUCUAGUUGGUCUGUGAGACCAGAGUAAUGAUUUGAGGGACAGUCGGGGACAUUCGUAUUGCAUUGUCAGAGGUGAAAUUCUAGGAUUUAUGCAAGACGAACUUCUGCCAAGGCAUUUGUCAAGGAUGUUUUCAUUAAUCAAGAACGAAAGUUGGGGGCUCGAAGACAAUUAGGUAGCGUCCGACUCUCAACCAUAAACGAUGCCUACUAGGGAUUGGCAGAAGUUCUUUUGAUGACUCUGCCCCCACCUUAUGAGAAAUCAAAAUUUUUGGGUUCCGGGGG